Molecule: long non-coding RNA, 3232 nt
Organism: Myotis myotis
Lineage: Eukaryota; Metazoa; Chordata; Mammalia; Chiroptera; Vespertilionidae
Exons: 7
Source: RefSeq, a predicted model, not a curated record
ACCAGUGACACUCUUUAGAGGAAGGCACAUUCCUGUGUGACACUCAAGGCCAUGUCUUUCUGAAGCAGGUGGCACUAGGAUGCUGAGGCACAGCCCGUUGUUGGGGGGGAGCCUGGAGACAGCCCAGGUGCCUGUCUUGCCUCCUCUCACAGACCCUACCUUUACUCUCAGCCCAGCAGAAGCAGCAGAGGCAGAGGCAAGCACGCAACAGCUGGCCACAGCCCUAGGCUGCAGUGUGCCAGGCUCAAUGGGACAGGGCCCAGGCUCCUGGGACAUCGUGGGAGGGGCUGGGUUUCCCCAGAGAAGGCUGUGGCCCUGGGUUGGAUGGGAUGUCCCUGUGGAGGACAGGAGGGGAGUCACUCCAGGUGGGGAUCUGGAGGAGAGGCCAGUGUUCCUGAAAACACACUCAGGUUGAACUCUGGGGGUCUCCUCUGGGGACAGUGACCUUCCCAGAGGGAGGGAGGCACCCCCACACAGAGGCUUUAGCAGCCCCGCCCUCGUGGCACCAAAGGCGAUGGGGUGCGUCAGGCAAGGAUGCAGAGAGAGACCCUCCUUCUCCUGCCCUAAUUCCACGUGACUUUAUGCGUGGGCAUUUUCCUUAGGUCGGAGGAAACCGGCCCUUUAACACCUUAUUGGAACAGAAUUACCUGUGUAUGCCUGUACUCUCCGUGCAUCUCCUCCGUUUCCUCCCUCACAGUGCCUGGGGACUGAUCAUGUAAAGUUGGUAACUCUGUUGCUUAACACCUGCGAAGUCCACGCCUGCCGCAGAGCAACUUCCCUGUGUACCAGUGAGCAGAUGGCUGUGAAUUCUUGUCUCGUGGGGAGGUCAGAUCAUGGCCUCCGGCAUGAUUGGCUCCUGACUUUCAGGCAACAGAUCUGUCCUCUUAGUUGUCACCACACCCAUCUCCUUUCAUCCACGCCAAGGAAGAGAGCCCUCCACUUAGCAAAGGCCUAGCCCAGUGUCCUGUAGGAGCCUUCGGUAUCCCCAGCAUCCCUGGAGAAGAGAAGCAGCCCCUGUGUGAGAGGAUCUGAAGCUCUAAGAAGUUAAGUAAUGUGCCAGCGUACACACAGCUGAUCUCCGCUGGAGCCCAAACUUGAACUCGGGUCUGCUAAGGUCAGAUGAUCUUUUCACCUCACCCACCUCAACUGCCAGGAAAAGCAUACAUGGAAGCAUUGCAUAGCAUCUACAAGAUGACAGUGCUGGCUAUUAUCACUGUGGGUUUCAGAUCACUCCUCACAAACACUCUCUGAGCUCCUGCGCCUCUUCGCUGGAACUCCAUCAGUAGCUGCACCAGCUGUUACUUGGAACCUGACCGGGAAACAGCCUCCCGGCCCAGCCCACUGAGAAUCAGCCUUCCCCCGCGGAGCCCCUCCAGACUUGCUCCCUGCUUUCCACCUCCACCAACAAAUGCUGAGUGCCAGUGACCAGCGUAGACACAGUGCUGCCUUAUUUCCCUUCUUUUGUUGGUUUUACCUGGGCUUGCUGUCACAUUAUUUACCCAAAUUGGCUACAACAACAUCUCCCUUCCCACAUCCUCUUCUUACAAAACACGUCGACGCUCCUCCCGUUGAGAGAAAUCAAUAAAAAUAUUAAAAAAGAAGAAGGAAGAGGAGAAAGAGGAAGAGGAGGAGGAGGAAGAGGAGAAGAAGAAGAACAGACAGCCACCUCCAAUUUCCCAGCUGGGUGAUGGUGCCAUCUUGAAAGUGAACCCCCAGUCCCAGUUAAGCUGACACUGAGUGAGUAAGGACAAGCUGUAGAUUCAGGAGCAGGAUAAGUGACUGUUGUUUUAAGCCUUUACAUUCUGGAGAGGUUUGUCACGCAGCAAUAGGUACCUGAUACAUCACCGAUCCUCCUACUCUCUGCGUGACCACACUUCACAGUUCCCUGCCUCUGUGCCUUUUCUCAUUCCUUUUCUUCCAUCAGCGUGUCCUCUUCCCAUUGAAAUCUUAUGGCUCCUCAAGGUCUCAUUCAAUUGGCACUCCUUCCAGGAAGCCCUCCUCAUUGUUCCAGUUGGUUGUGAUCUCUUCCCCCUCAGAACUCUUGGAAAACUUUGUUUCUACCACUUAUAUAGCACUUAUUGCCAGGAUUGAUAGCCAACAUAUUUAGCAACUGGCUAAGCCAAGUACUGACCAAUCAGAAGGGAGGCCUCCUGAGUUCGCAGCCCUGUGAUUUCCUUGCCCGGCAGCCAAGCUGGUUCCACACAGACUUAGCUCCUCUUCCAGCCUGCAAGCACCUUCAGGGCGGGGCACCUCAUCUCUCCGUCGUCCUGUCCUCCAGACCUGCUCUUGUUGGCCUUGGCAGAACCUGUGAGGUGGAAGAGCAGGCAGCUCUGAUGAAUACUCGUUAAAGAAAAAUGUCUGUGCUGAGUCCGCCGGAGAGGAGAUGUCAGAAAAGACAUUAGUCUUUGUCUGUAUCUGUCAUUCGAAGAAGGAACCAAUUUCAAAAUCAUAUCUCACACUUUCUCCUCCCCUGAGUCACGGAGCAAGCUUACCAUUCCUGUGUUCACUCACUGAACACAGACUGAGCCCUACCGUGCCCGGGGGCUGGGAUUCGGAGAAGAAAUGCUGUCCAUGGAGCCACUGCACACGUCAGGGAACGGGGACAGCGGAGGGGAUCUAGGGAGACUCCGAGAUUGAGACAAAUCAAUUCACCAACUCAAUGGAACACCAACUUCUUUUUAACUUUGCUGAUAAACAUUUACCAUGGUGGCAAUGCUCUCAUUUUAGAAGCACACAGCAAUUCUCCUCUAGUGGAUCCCUAAUUACCCAGGUGUGGCUGAGGACAGCCGGAUGCCGAUGUGGGCGAUGGUGGCACCGGCAUCAUCAGGCUGCCUUUGCUGGUCCUCAGGUUGUGUGGACGGAUAGCUGUGCUCGGGGCUGUGAUGCUCAGAGUUUCCACUUCACCGUUUUUCAGCUCCCUGGAGCUCCACGCAGUCCCCAGUGUCUUGAGAUGACCAGCGGGGCAGAGGGGAUGGAUUUGCACGCCAAGAAGCAAAGUUGUACAACACCCUUUAGUUUGUCUCGCCCAAGAGCCACAUGAGGCACUUGAACACUUGAAAUAUUGUUAGUCUGAAUUGAGAUGUGCUGUAUGUAUAAAAUACACAAUGGAUUUUGGAGACCAAGUUUAAAAAAAAGAAUGCAAACAUCUCUCUGAAGUUUUGUUACGGAUUACAUGUUGAAAUAUUAUUUUUGGACAUACUGGGUUCAAUAACAUAUUAAAAUUAACUCCAUC